RNAcentral lists this ribosomal RNA (490 nucleotides) under uncultured bacterium. Its description in RNAcentral is "partial 16S ribosomal RNA". It matches the Rfam family "Bacterial small subunit ribosomal RNA", at positions 28 to 507 of the family's 1533-position model. The record is from RNAcentral.
GAUGAACGCUAGCGGCAGGCCUAAUACAUGCAAGUCGAACGGGAUCCAGAUCAAAGCUUGCUUUGGUCUGGUGAGAGUGGUGCACGGGUGCGUAACGCGUGAGCAACCUACCCUUGUCAGGGGGAUAGCCCGGCGAAAGUCGGAUUAAUACCGCAUGACAUCAUUGAGAGGCAUCUUUCGAUGAUCAAAGAUUUAUCGGACAAGGAUGGGCUCGCGUGACAUUAGCUCGUUGGUAAGGUAACGGCUUACCAAGGCUGCGAUGUCUAGGGGCUCUGAGAGGAGAAUCCCCCACCCUGGUACUGAGACACGGACCAGACUCCUACGGGAGGCAGCAGUAAGGAAUAUUGGUCAAUGGACGGAAGUCUGAACCAGCCAUGCCGCGUGCAGGAGGACGGCCCUAUGGGUUGUAAACUGCUUUUAUACGGGAACAAACGUCGGUACGUGUACCGGUCUGAGUGUACCGUAAGAAUAAGGAUCGGCUAACUCCGUG